Molecule: ribosomal RNA, 395 nt
Filed under: uncultured bacterium
Lineage: Bacteria
Description: bacterial SSU rRNA
Rfam family: Bacterial small subunit ribosomal RNA
Source: RNAcentral
AACGAACGCUGGCGGCGCGCCUAACACAUGCAAGUCGAACGAGAAGGCGUAGCAAUACGCUUGUAGAGUGGCGAACGGGUGAGUAAUACGUGGGUGACCUACCCUCGAGUGGGGAAUAACCCGCCGAAAGGCGGGCUAAUGCCGCGUACGCUUCCGUCCUCACGGGGACGGAAGGGAAAGCUGUACCGUGGGUACGGCGCUCAAGGAUGGGCUCACGUCCUAUCAGCUUGUUGGUAGGGUAACGGCCUACCAAGGCUACGACGGGUAGCUGGUCUGAGAGGACGAUCAGCCACACUGGCACUGCGACACGGGCCAGACUCCUACGGGAGCAGCAGUGAGGAAUAUGCGCAAUGGCGAAAGCCUGACGCAGCGACGCCGCGUGGGGGAUGAAGGUC